Molecule: ribosomal RNA, 912 nt
Filed under: Triticum aestivum (bread wheat)
Lineage: Eukaryota; Viridiplantae; Streptophyta; Magnoliopsida; Poales; Poaceae
Description: partial small subunit ribosomal RNA
Source: RNAcentral
GAGGUUAAAAGCGGCAGUAAGUGCCUUUCCUUACUCUAUCGCCGACGCAGCCGCGGCUUAAGGAACGGCCGCAUUGGCGCGGCCGUUAAGCGCUACGAGCUGCCGCUACAGCGCAGGCCGCAGCUAGAUAGGACGACACGAGCAACUCCUACACCACGGCGGCAGGAACUUCCGCCUGCAGAACCGGUACCACUACCCCCGACGCACCCGGCAGCGGUAACUACCAUCCGAGGCGCGCGAUGCCACUGUCGCCCGGCCCUCUGCCGCAGGCGCGCCUUCUGCCUCCGACUCGCCAAAGACACACGACCUCAAACGAGGCCGCCGCACCUCUCCUCGAGGUCGGCCGCGUAGCGUUUCCCUACCUCCGGGGGAAGAGGGUUGGUCAGUGGCUAAUAUACACCAAACCAGCUACUCCUACCGCACUUUCUACCGACGAGGUGAGGCCCAUACAAACUACGCUCGUAUGUUUUGGAAACGGCAACGCAGGGUUGGAGAUGACAUAUAUACAUCCAAAAGAUAAAGCGACUUGGAAUGUACAGACGUUAACCAACUGUUUCUCGUGUUAAGACAUAUAAAGGAUUACGUUUAUUGAUUUUCUUCCUUACCUAUUUUACAACGGACCGCUAGCCGCCACCUCCCGGUUGCCCUCGCCCUUGCUUCAAGUGUUCGCCACCACGGUACUGGGAGAAGCUCGGUCCUGCCGGGUAGGACCCAGGGUAGCCGUACUCACGCUUCUGGGCUAAAGAGAAGAUUGUGCUGAGUACCAAGUCUUGCGUUCCUGCAUAUAACUGAAUAGAUUGAUAAAAGUAAAAGUAACCGCGGUUCAUUUGGUACCACUAUCCUUUUUCCUUCACUAACUUUCUUCCUCUAACUAGUUGCAAACUAACUUUCUUCCUUCCUCUAAAUAGUGGC